CUACGGGCGGCACCAGUGGGGAAUAUUGCACAAUGGAGGAAACUCUGAUGCAGCAACGCCGCGUGGAGGAUGACACUUUUCGGAGCGUAAACUCCUUUUAUAUAGGAAGAAGAUGACGGUACUAUAUGAAUAAGCGCCGGCUAACUCCGUGCCAGCAGCCGCGGUAAUACGGAGGGCGCAAGCGUUACUCGGAAUCACUGGGCGUAAAGAGCGUGUAGGCGGAUUAAAAAGUCAGAAGUGAAAUCCUAUAGCUUAACUAUAGAACUGCUUCUGAAACUCUUAAUCUAGAAUAUGGGAGAGGUAGAUGGAAUUUCUGGUGUAGGGGUAAAAUCCGUAGAGAUCAGAAGGAAUACCGAUUGCGAAGGCGACCGACUAGAACAUUAUUGACGCUGAGACGCGAAAGCGUGGGGAGCAAACAGGAUUAGAUACCCCGGUAGUC
This 439-nucleotide ribosomal RNA is filed under the name uncultured bacterium. RNAcentral describes it as "partial 16S ribosomal RNA". It matches the Rfam family "Bacterial small subunit ribosomal RNA", at positions 339 to 795 of the family's 1533-position model. The record is from RNAcentral.